Long non-coding RNA from Bactrocera dorsalis (oriental fruit fly), 2437 nucleotides. RefSeq lists it as uncharacterized. The transcript is spliced from 3 exons. The record is from RefSeq and is a predicted model, not a curated record. NCBI's taxonomy places the organism in Eukaryota, Metazoa, Arthropoda, Insecta, Diptera, Tephritidae.
CUUCAUUUAUAUUGGCAAGUAGCGCGACGAGCAUCUUCAGUUCUCACAGAUCGGUCCAAACGGUACGGUCUAGCAAAGUAAAGCUUUUUUCAAAUUAUUUUUUAAUAGAUCGCCUAGAACUUUUAGAAAAGUAAUUUUCCUUGCUUAAAGCAAAUCAAAUUUUAUAUUUGCAAAAAUGGCGCGUGCUGUACUAUGCAUGGUGAGUGAUUUUUAACAGAAAAAAUACCAAAAAUAUUAAUAUUUGUAAAAACCCUACAUGCAGGUAUUUAUUGAAUAUCAUUUUCAGUUUUAACUAAAAUUGAAUACAUAAAUUCUGAUAAAUGCCUUUAAGCGCAUUAAAAUUAACCUUAAAAUUGGCAGCUGCUAUUGGCGUUUCAGGGGCGAGCCAGCAGCGCCAAGGCACGGCGAUGAAGAUAAACACAAAUUAAAAAGCAAUAUACACAUACAUACAUACAUACAUAUAUAUAUGAAUGUAAGUAGUGCAAUAUUUAUGAACUUUGUAUGACAACAAAUUUCACUUGCACGCUUUCAUGGUCAAAAUCGUUGCAUAACCUGUUGCCAGCGCGGAAGAAUUUGCCACAGUUUCGUUAAAACCGUAAGCAAGCGAGUCAGCGUGCUGCCGGCGUUGUGUGGCGGCUGUAAUAUGAGACAGGCAAAUUUUUUGUUGCUUUUGGUUGUUGCUGUCGGUGCACGAAGCUGGCGUGCGUGGUCGGCGCGUCGCAGUGUACAGCAUUUGCCAUUGCGGCGGCGGCAAUGUCUCAUUAAGGCCAAGUGGUUAGCUGAACGCAGUUAAUCUUCCAACAGCGCUGCAAUGCAGACGCAGGGCGUGGUGCACUGUUGUUCAGUUUUUUGUUGCUUUUUGUGGUUUUUUUGAAAAAAAAAAAAUACUUUGGUGAAUUCCGUAAUUUUCCCUUAGUUUACUCGGCCACACUGCCUGCCCGCAAGCUAUAAUUUUGUAACUGUCAAGCGCGAGCAAUUCGAAACAAAGUUAACAACCGGCAAACAUGUGUACAUAUAUACUUACAUGUAUGUAUCGAAUGUUUGUAUGUCCGUUAGUUGCUGUAAAUAAAUUAAGUUUUCAGAAAAAAUGCAAUGCACUGACCUUCGUUGAGGCGCUCUUCAACGCACACAUUAUUGACGCUUCAAUUUCAACAAGCUGUGUAAUUUCUUAGCGACUUCACUCUCGGCGCAGCCUCGAGAAACCGGCUCCCGAAGUGCGGGCGCAUCUCGCGCUCAUUUCGUGUCAGUCAUUCGAUUCAGCUUUUGAAUCGUUUGUUGGCGUCAUGCAGGUACACAUACUAUGUAUUGGAGCUCUGGCGGCAAAUUAUUGAAUGAUUUUCUGAUUGACAAUUUCAAAAUUUUGCUACUAAGUUUGGCGCGCAGUGAGGGUUAGUAUAUAUGUAGAUAUGAAAUGAAAUGCAUGCAUGUGCGGCAAAAUGCAUUUCUGCGGUCAUUAAAAUUCUAUGCCUGUAUUAGCAUGCCUACUCUAAUUCAUUUAGAAGCUUUAUGAGCGCAUAUUUGAUCUUAUUUUGCGGUUAAAAUGGUCAUUAAAGUCGCUGCGGCUUCGCAAUUCUCUUUUGCGGUUGUGCGACCACAAAGUAAUGAACUCUUGUGCGCAUUAAUUAAUCGAAAAUUAUUUACGCAAAUUGCAGCGAGUUGUGGAAGUGAAAUGUAAGCUGCUAAAAUUUGGAAAAUUUUAGUGUCAGAAAGCAAAUUUCCAACAAAUUUCCACAAAUGUUUUUGUAAUAGUACAUUUUGUAACAAAUUUUCGCACAUUUGCCAUGAGUCGUUGGGUGCACUAUAGCAACAUAAAUAGUCUCUAAUUUCACACAAUUAAAUAAAUUCACUGAAUUUGUGUGUAAUUUUUCAACAAAUCAAUCACAGACUGGGCGGGAAAUUAAUAAAGCAUUGUGCUCUUUGCUGAUUUUGCAUUCACAAGUGUGGUUAUAUACAUAUGUACGUACGUUGUUCGGCACACAAUGCUUGGCAAUCAGCAGCAAUUAAUCACAGUCUAUUAGAAUUGAUUCAAAAUCAUGUUUUUGGUGCAGAAACUAUUAUUUGUGGUCGUGCUGAAUUACUAAUCAAGCACAUGAAAGCAACACAGUACAAAAUGUCCAAAUUUUUAAAAUUUUUGAGUGGCAGCUACUUGCAAUGCCUCUAUAUGUGGCAUAUGCAUAUGUAGUUUUAUAGGUUAUCUAAUACAUUUUUUUGUAAGAGGAUUCAUAUGCCAAAUAAAUAAAUAAAUAUUUUUCUGGUAUUUACACAAACAUGCAAAAUUAAUGUGAGGCACAAAAUGUAGCAGCAUUUCAUAUAGAUUUUUCAGAGCAUAUACAUAUAUAUCUGGUUGUCAUAUAAUUUGAAUUUGAUUAAAAGUGAAAUUUUGCAACUAAAAAAUGUUGUUUCCAAAAUAUAUACUAAAAUUUAGAAUAAAAUAAAA